UACGAAGGGUGCAAGCGUUACUCGGAAUUACUGGGCGUAAAGCGUGCGUAGGUGGUGAGUUAAGUCUGUCGUGAAAGCCCCGGGCUCAACCUGGGAAUGGCGAUGGAUACUGGCUCGCUAGAGUGCGGUAGAGGAGAGUGGAAUUCCCGGUGUAAGCAGUGAAAUGCGUAGAGAUCGGGAGGAACAUCAGUUGCGAAGGCGGCUCUCUGGACCAGCACUGACACUGGAGGCACGGAAAAGCGUGGGGAGCAAACAGG
This 257-nucleotide ribosomal RNA is filed under the name uncultured bacterium. RNAcentral describes it as "partial 16S ribosomal RNA". It matches the Rfam family "Bacterial small subunit ribosomal RNA", at positions 524 to 776 of the family's 1533-position model. The record is from RNAcentral.